RNAcentral lists this ribosomal RNA (446 nucleotides) under uncultured Acetobacterium sp. RNAcentral's name for it is "bacterial SSU rRNA". It matches the Rfam family "Bacterial small subunit ribosomal RNA", at positions 936 to 1382 of the family's 1533-position model. Lineage: Bacteria; Bacillati; Bacillota; Clostridia; Eubacteriales; Eubacteriaceae. The record is from RNAcentral.
AGCAUGUGGUUUAAUUCGAAGCAACGCGAAGAACCUUACCAGGGCUUGACAUCCUCUGACGACGCAAGAGAUUGCGUUUUCCCUUCGGGGACAGAGAGACAGGUGGUGCAUGGUUUGUCGUCAGCUCGUGUCGUGAGAUGUUGGGUUAAGUCCCGCAACGAGCGCAACCCCUAUUGUCAGUUGCCAUCAUUCAGUUGGGCACUCUAAGCAGACUGCCGUGGAUAACACGGAGGAAGGUGGGGACGACGUCAAAUCAUCAUGCCCCUUAUGACCUGGGCUACACACGUGCUACAAUGGUCUGAACAGAGGGCUGCGAAACCGCGAGGUGAAGCUAAUCCCUUAAAACAGAUCUCAGUUCGGAUUGCAGGCUGCAACUCGCCUGCAUGAAGUUGGAGUUGCUAGUAAUCGCAGAUCAGAAUGCUGCGGUGAAUGCGUUCCCGGGUCUU